AGCACAGAACCAUGGUAUCACGUUCAUUUCCCAUUGAAUAUUAAUGUGACCAUGUACUUCAUGGUAAAAAGAACAUCCAAGCGUGAAUAAAUAAUGAAUUAACACUCUUUAAGUUUUUCGUGUACGGUUGAUAUUUUGACCGUCGUGCGGCACGUGUUUUUUUUCUCCUCAAUCAUUUUCGAGCGGUCGGCACCAGCUCGGUUUUCGUGGUUUUAUAUAAUAAAAUUAUAAUCGUAGUCUUCGAAGAUGGGCGCAACGCAAAAUAACUCAACACUGCGAGCGGCUCGUGACACGGUGGCCAAUGGAUUCCGGAAGUGGCUACGAGAUGCUGGUGUGCAAGACAUUUCAGUCCACCGAAUAAUCACAGUGUGGUUGAGUGUGUAAGUAAAAUGUUGAGCUGUUUAAA
Long non-coding RNA from Uranotaenia lowii, 406 nucleotides. RefSeq lists it as uncharacterized. NCBI's taxonomy places the organism in Eukaryota, Metazoa, Arthropoda, Insecta, Diptera, Culicidae. The transcript has 2 exons. The record is from RefSeq and is a predicted model, not a curated record.